Molecule: ribosomal RNA, 554 nt
Filed under: uncultured bacterium
Lineage: Bacteria
Description: partial 16S ribosomal RNA
Rfam family: Bacterial small subunit ribosomal RNA
Source: RNAcentral
UAGGGAAUCUUCGGCAAUGGGGGCAACCCUGACCGAGCAACGCCGCGUGAGUGAAGAAGGUUUUCGGAUCGUAAAGCUCUGUUGUAAGUCAAGAACGGGUGUGAGAGUGGAAAGUUCACACUGUGACGGUAGCUUACCAGAAAGGGACGGCUAACUACGUGCCAGCAGCCGCGGUAAUACGUAGGUCCCGAGCGUUGUCCGGAUUUAUUGGGCGUAAAGCGAGCGCAGGCGGUUUGAUAAGUCUGAAGUUAAAGGCUGUGGCUCAACCAUAGUUCGCUUUGGAAACUGUCAAACUUGAGUGCAGAAGGGGAGAGUGGAAUUCCAUGUGUAGCGGUGAAAUGCGUAGAUAUAUGGAGGAACACCGGUGGCGAAAGCGGCUCUCUGGUCUGUAACUGACGCUGAGGCUCGAAAGCGUGGGGAGCGAACAGGAUUAGAUACCCUGGUAGUCCAUGCCGUAAACGAUGAGUGCUAAGUGUUGGGAGGCUUCCGCCUCUCAGUGCUGCAGCUAACGCAUUAAGCACUCCGCCUGGGGAGUACGACCGCAAGGUUGAAAC